Long non-coding RNA from Eptesicus fuscus (big brown bat), 877 nucleotides. RefSeq lists it as uncharacterized. NCBI's taxonomy places the organism in Eukaryota, Metazoa, Chordata, Mammalia, Chiroptera, Vespertilionidae. The transcript is spliced from 9 exons. The record is from RefSeq and is a predicted model, not a curated record.
CUGGGACCGAGGAACCAGUUGAAAUUUGGAUACAGGAGGCAGAUGAAUGGAGAUUGCAAUGUCAACUUGAUAGCUGAUAUAGGAUUGGAGAGCAUGGCAGACAUGAAGCCAUCAUGGAUUUCCUAAUGCUUCACCCUGAAUUGAACUUACCCACCAGUCCCUGGCAAAGAUUGUCAUCUUGGAUACAUGCAUCCACAUCACAGUUGGAGUAAAGAGGCAGAAAUGAAAACUGAAAUACAAGAAGGAAGACAUAAAAGCAAUGUCAGUAACAGCAGCAACAACAGUUAUGGGAGCAGAAAGAGGAGGUACAUUUCACCUUUAGGGGGGAAACAGCACCCAGCUGCCCCUGCCCACCCUCGGUGAAUACUUGCUGAAGAAAUGCUUGAAUGAGAGAACACAGGCUUGAAGAAAUCACAAAAGCUGAGCUCCCACCAUGGACCAAGGCCCUGGGCCAAGAUGGAUAAGAGGCCUGGCUUUACUCUCCCACCUGAAACAACCGAAAAGAUCAGACAAUUUAUCAAACAGUGGUUCUCAGGACACCAGCUAUCUGGAAAUGAAGGGCAGCGACCCCUGAAAGACAGGAAGCCAGUGAGGUGCUCAGAGAGGCGGCAGCAAGACUCUCUGCUGGGCGUGGGGGAGGCCCAGUGGAGAAGAGGCGGCUCCUUCCCGCCAGGCACGGAGGGGGCGGAGCCAAUGGGAGACCCAGUCACUGCUUCAGUGCUGACUGCACCUGACCGUGGCUGACAGAUGUCUCCGGGGCCUGUGGUGAAAACAGAAAAGGGGGACGAGGGAGGAAGCAGGGAGCCCCUGAUGAAGACUGGGUGUCAAUCCAGGUCAGUGAGCAUCUUUAUGACCACUACUUUGAACUUUUUAUCAG